GGACUGAAAAGAAGAAAACCAGAACAUUCUUCCCUGAGGGGACUGUUGUUCUAACGUGCCAUGCCAGUCUGGUGGAAUAUUACACAGCUGUGAAAAUGGAACCCUUUAUCUGAUUUUUUCCCAGCUUUAGAUGGCUAGCUAGAAUCUCCAGACAUGUGAAUAUCAGCCCACAUGGACUCACAAGGUACCAGGUGAAGAUUUCACACUAGAGAUGGCUAAAUUCAGCGUCUCAUUCCUGCAAGAUGCCUUUAAACACACAAAAGCCACUGUAUAUUGUUCAUAUGUACAAACACAUCUAGAAAAACAAAAGAAAAAUAGAAAAACAUGAGCAGGAAGGAUUUAAAAAAUUCAUGGUCACGAUCGCCUCUGAGGAACGGGGAAGGAGCGUGGUAAUAAGGAAGGGAACGAGGAACCUCAUCAUUAUUCCUUUCUUGCUUUGUUUGUCGCAGUGCUGAGACCAGAAGUCAUUUUAAGAUUUUCUUCUUUUACCAAAGACAGUGAGUCCAGUGGAGCAGACGUCAGCUUUCAUGAACUUGAAGUGGGGAGCAGACGGGACUUUCUUCCUCCUCCCUCCCCCCCUUCCACCUGCCCAUCCAAUAAGAAGACGUAGCGCUGGCCUCUGCUUCCUACAGGUGGGGAGAAGAAGAAAAAGCUAAAACAAAUCUUUCUCUUUUUUUCUUAACACCUUCUCCUCUGUAUCUGGGAAUCAGGACGGGGAGGGUCCUGGGAGCCACUCUUUGAUGGGGUUUUGAUGGAUGAAUAGAAGUUCUCCUUUGUGGACCAGGGAAGGGUGCAAAGAGGACCGUCCAGGGCUAGGAGGGUUUAAAAAGCUCAGUGCCAGUGGUUUGAAUGUCGCCAAAAUAUGUUGGAAUGUGGCCUUGUGACCAUUUGACCUUGAAUCCCCUUCUCCCAGAUCUGUGAAUACAACAUCUUUUUCCCUUGUAAACGGCCCAGUCUGCAGCGUUCAACUAGAGCAAGGGAGAGCAGGAGAGCAGCCCAAGGUCCUCGGAACCUACACAGUGGUGACGUUGCUCGCUCAGAGUUGAUGAGCAGCCGGGAGCGGGUGAGAGAGUGGGCUGGCUCCUGGGGGGACCGGUGAGCCAGGCUGAGGGUCUCAGACUUCACCCUGCGGGCACCGGGAACUCUGGGUUGACAGCGUCCUUCCCGUGGGACCCUGUGGCCUCCACUUCCUGCACGUCAAGGUUAAGAAAAAGUCCCACCCCACUGAGACGAUUCAGGUAUCUGCCAUUCCCACAGAGGGACCGUCCCUCUUGUCACUCUCCCUUCUUAAAGAGCAGCCACAUCCGUGGGGUGACAACAGACCACUGGGCCCUGAUGGACCAGAUACGAGGGACAGCAGCUCAGGAACGCCUGGAGACCUGGGCACCCAGCCUCACUGCAGCCCCUCAAGCAGAGACAAAGUCCCUGGACCAGGGCAGCUGAGCUGCGAGCCGCACUCCUGCCCUCCAGGGUCUAGGUCCAGCCAGCCCAGGGGCCACCGCGGGUUACCUGGACCCUCCUGCUCACCACACUGGAAGCAGCAAAGGAUACGGCCAGGCUUGUCUUUUAAGGCCUGGACGGUGGCGGGGCAGGACCAUGUGAUGACUCCCGAGAGUCUUGGCCUCUCCCUUCCUGGGCCCCUUCUUCAUGAAAAAUAAAGGCGAAU
This 1666-nucleotide long non-coding RNA is filed under the name Marmota monax (woodchuck). The record is from RNAcentral. Lineage: Eukaryota; Metazoa; Chordata; Mammalia; Rodentia; Sciuridae.